Molecule: non-coding RNA, 2036 nt
Organism: Camellia sinensis
Lineage: Eukaryota; Viridiplantae; Streptophyta; Magnoliopsida; Ericales; Theaceae
Source: RefSeq, a predicted model, not a curated record
UAAUCUCUCUGAAUCGAUCGAAUCAACCUUCUUCAGCCCCAUUUGAUCUAAUCUCAGAGCGAUUGGUGAUUCAUCUCCGAUCCAAUCUCAGAGCGAUUGGCAAUUUCGAUUUUGAGAUUUUGAAGCUCCACCGCCUCCACCAUCUGCACUGGCGAGGGGAGCGAGCACCAUCAUCUACUAAGAGCCAUGUGCGGCAAUUCUGUUUGGCGUUCACUUCAAUGUAAUUGUAAUUUAAAGCUUCAAUUUGUUGCUCUCUCUUUCUCUCUCUAUCUGUACCCAUUUGGCGUUGUCUGUUGCGUCCAAGUCACAGCAACCUCUUGAUUUGCCUUUUGGUCUGAAGUUUAUUUUGGACGCAUUCUUGUGAUUUCAACAUUUCAUUUUAUCAAAUUUGUCACAAUUUCAUCCAAAAUUAUAAUCAAUAUCCUUAAAACAAAUAUGAUCAUAUAAUUGUGGUGAUGAUCUGACAGAGGUGCGAGUGGAUUAUGCUCUUCUAUGGUCUGUGGAUUCGGCUGCAUUCAAGGUUCCAAAUGCAUAAGAACCACGCACUGUGACAAAGGUACUAAGGUAAACCAUCCAAUCAUGCUCCGUAGAACUACUUUUGUGGCUCUGAUCUUUGGGACCAUAGCCAUCUUCUUCAUCAGCUCGAGUCUUGUCUUCUAGUAUAAGUGGCUCCCUUAUCUCUUCUUGCAAGCUGUUCUCACCUUGCUCCAAAAAUUAGAGAAUUCAAAUUUAUGGUCAAGAAUUUAAUGGAGAAUGCUAACAAAAGGUAGGCCUUUCAACUCAAUUUUUUCAUUCUAUACUCAUGCUUCCCUAAUGUGACAGAAAGCAGAUUGGGCAAAUUUCUAGAUCUGUAGGGUGGCUGGGGCAAACUUGAUUUUGUUCUGUGAUGAAAGCCAGGAUGCACCACACUAUGAAGUCCUUGCCAAGUUUGUUUUUCAAUUCUUGUUGUAAUGAAAGUUCUAAAUUUAUCACAGCAUUUUUAGUUUUGCAAUGUUGGGAGGUGUUAAGAUGUCUUGAUAUCCAUUAUGAUGGUUUCCUAAUCAUGGACGCAACCUGAAUAUUCCCAUGGAAAGAACUAUUGAGAAGCUUAUAAUUUAUUGUUUGCACCUUAUAGGAAUAUUUAGAUGCUAUGUAACAUUUGAAAAAUGCAGUACAAUCUCUUAACGGCUUUUAACUGUUAAGACCUACAUUUUUUACUCACUGUUAAUUUUAUUUCUUUCUCAGUUUUUUCUUUCCUUUUUUCGGGUGGGAUGAGAGGUUUUAAGAGUUUUUUUAUAUUCAUUAUUUUGGUUUUCUAAUCAUAGAGGCAACCUGAAUACUCCCAUCCCAUGGAAAAGAACUAUUGAGAAGCUUAUAAUUUCUUGCUUGCAUCUUAUAGGAAUAUUGUAGAUGCUAUGCUGGUGGACUGUUUGUUGUGUACUUUGCUCUGCUGCAACAGGUAGCAGCAUAAGAGAUAUUCAGUUGAUUGCAUGACCUUUCAUCCUCUAUAUUUGAUCCUCGCUGUCAACUUUUGCUUAUGCAUAUCUCAGUGACUAUUUUUUUGAAGUGAUUCACUUAUUCUUUUGAACAGGUUCCUCUUACUAAUGAAUUCAUUACUAAUGGUGCUCCUCUUGCCAGGUUACAUAUCCAACAUCUCGUCAACAUGCCACUUGGUCCUUGGAUGACUUGCCAAGAACAGUAGCUUGUACCAUGCAUCAAGGAUCUGCUGUUAACAGCAUGGAUUUUCAUCCUUCUCAUCACACAUUGCUUCUUGUUGGUUUUGCUACUGGUGAAAUAACGCUCUGGGAAGUGGGGAUGCGAUAUAAAUUGGUUUCAAAGCCAUUCAAGAUAUGGGACAUGGCAAAUUGUUAUAUGCUGCUUCAGGUUCCUUUUCUUCCUUUUCUUUCCUUGUUGCUUGUUAUCUUAGCAUUCUAUGAUGUGAUAUAUACCUAUGAUAUGAGAUAUCUAUGGAGGUUGUAAACAGCAUGUACAAAUUAAUUGUGACCAGAUUAUUUCUUGUUUGAUUUGGGGACAUUUAUAAUACUAAUCUUCAACUA